UUUCCGUAGGUGAACCUGCGGAAGGAUCAUUAAAGAAUUGCCCCGUCUUCUCGAAGAUGGGUUCUAUUCCAAACCGUGUUUACAUACCUUUGUUGCUUUGGCGGGCCGCCGCUUCGGCGUUGGCUCCGGCUGACUGCGCCCGCCAGAGGACCACAACUCUUUUGUUUAGCAAUGUCUGAGUACUAUAUAAUAGUUAAAACUUUCAACAACGGAUCUCUUGGUUCUG
Molecule: unclassified non-coding RNA, 226 nt
Filed under: plant metagenome
Description: partial contains small subunit ribosomal RNA, internal transcribed spacer 1, and 5.8S ribosomal RNA
Source: RNAcentral